This 75-nucleotide transfer RNA is filed under the name bacterium CG10_46_32. Its description in RNAcentral is "tRNA-Asn". It matches the Rfam family "tRNA". From Rfam's summary of the family: Transfer RNA (tRNA) molecules are approximately 80 nucleotides in length. Their secondary structure includes four short double-helical elements and three loops (D, anti-codon, and T loops). Further hydrogen bonds mediate the characteristic L-shaped molecular structure. tRNAs have two regions of fundamental functional importance: the anti-codon, which is responsible for specific mRNA codon recognition, and the 3' end, to which the tRNAs corresponding amino acid is attached (by aminoacyl-tRNA synthetases). tRNAs cope with the degeneracy of the genetic code in two manners: having more than one tRNA (with a specific anti-codon) for a particular amino acid; and 'wobble' base-pairing, i.e. permitting non-standard base-pairing at the 3rd anti-codon position. The record is from RNAcentral. RNAcentral also lists the same sequence under 1 other name.
UCCGGGGUAGCUCAGCGGUAGAGCGAAGGACUGUUAAUCCUCAGGUCGUGGGUUCGAAUCCCACCCCCGGAGCCA